UGUUCCUGGCUCCUGCAGGCUCUAUGGAGCCACAGCCCUGGCUGGGCCUCCCCCGCUGCAGCCAGUAUUUUCACAGUGGCUGCUCCAGAUGGGUCACUGCUGCCAUCAAUGUCAGAUGUUUCCUGGUAUUUAGCUUCAGAAUGUUUCCUUUUAUGCAUCUGAAACAUUGUCAUUUCUUGGAGACUCUAAUGUGGCUUUAAAAAAAGAGGAUCACUCUGUCCCCAACUGUUACCUGCUCUCCAAGGGAGAGCUCAACCCCAGGAAAUUGGAAGAUCUGGCAACCGAAACCUAAUGAAACUUGAGAUCAACUUGCUGCCACUGAAUAUAACCCUAUGGAGCUGAGGAAAUCACUACUGCCCCCUGUUGGACUCGGUUGGAACAGUCAUUUUCUUGUUUUGAGAUGUGCAUAUUAGUUGCAAAUAAUUCUUAGUUUCUGUCUGUAGUUACACAAAGUUUGUGCUUUAAGUACAGUUUCCACUCUGUUGAUGCUGAAACAAGUUUUUCAAGUAGAUCUGGUUUGGAAUUUGUUCUCUCCUUCCCCAAGUUCCAGAGAUGCUCAACCCCUUCCACUAUCACCAAGAUAACUUCCUUUGCCAAACUAGCAAACAUGUCCAGUUAAAUCAUAAAUUGAACUUAACGUCAACCUCCCAUGGACGCAUUACACAUUACACAUUACAGAUGCCAUUAAUGUGCACAUAUUACACAUUACUUCCUUUGCCAAACUAGCAAACACGUCCAGUUAAUGAUAAAUUGAACUUAAUGUUGACCUCCCACGGACACAUUACAAAGACGUAAUAAUCAAUGUCACAAUUUUCCCUACAAAUCCUACUCAUUGGGUGUGAGAUCUAUCACAAAAAGUUUGUAGAACCUCCCUUCCUGGGAGUUGGUUAAUUUGAGAGAGGUCAUCUCAAAUGGAUCAAAUUCAGGUGUAUCAAAUGGCAGGGAGGAAGAAAUAGACGACUCCUCAGACUCCAUCAAUUACAUUUUUAUUUGUUAUAUCUCAUUCUCUACUUUGCCAGGGAGAACAUAUGAAAUUGGACUUGCAAAGAUGGCGAACCAUCUCUUCCAAAGAGUGUAGAGCGAUACUCCCAUCCCUGCAUCUGACCAUGAACCUGACCCUUUUUAUAGCCCCCACAGUAAAAGCCAA
Molecule: long non-coding RNA, 1147 nt
Filed under: Homo sapiens (human)
Lineage: Eukaryota; Metazoa; Chordata; Mammalia; Primates; Hominidae
Description: HSALNT0129287
Source: RNAcentral